UACGGAGGGUGCAAGCGUUACUCGGAAUCACUGGGCGUAAAGGGUGUGUAGGCGGAUUAGUAAGUCUUGUGUGAAAUCCUACGGCUUAACCGUAGAACUGCAUGAGAAACUGUUAAUCUAGAGUGUGAAAGAGGCAGGUGGAAUUAGUGGUGUAGGGGUAAAAUCCGUAGAUAUCACUAGGAAUACCGAUGGCGAAGGCGACCUGCUGGAGCAUAACUGACGCUGAGACACGAAAGCAUGGGGAGCAAACAGGAUUAGAAACCCUAGUAGUCC
RNAcentral lists this ribosomal RNA (273 nucleotides) under uncultured Campylobacter sp. Its description in RNAcentral is "partial 16S ribosomal RNA". It matches the Rfam family "Bacterial small subunit ribosomal RNA", at positions 524 to 796 of the family's 1533-position model. Lineage: Bacteria; Pseudomonadati; Campylobacterota; Epsilonproteobacteria; Campylobacterales; Campylobacteraceae. The record is from RNAcentral.